This is a long non-coding RNA of Mytilus californianus (California mussel), 2389 nucleotides long. RefSeq lists it as uncharacterized. The transcript is spliced from 3 exons. The record is from RefSeq and is a predicted model, not a curated record. NCBI's taxonomy places the organism in Eukaryota, Metazoa, Mollusca, Bivalvia, Mytilida, Mytilidae.
AGAAAUCUAUACUUUGAUGCUAUUAAUAACUUUGAGUAAACCAGAAGUAGCUUCCUAUCAAUUAUUUAGAAAAUUGAUGUGGAAAGACCUUCAAUUGUUCUUUGAACAAUUGGUUUUUAUACGACAGCAAAAUAAUUUUUGUGGUCGUAUAUUGGUAUGACGUUGGCGUCGUCGUCGUCGUUGUCGGCUUCGUCCUGCGUCGUCCAAAGACACAUUGGUUUUCGCACUCUAACUUUAGUUUAAGUAAAUGGAUCUCUAUGAAAUUUUACCACAAGGUUCAAUACCACAAAAGGAAGGUUGGGAUUGAUUUUGGGGGUUAUGGUACCAACAGUAAAGGAAUUAGGGGCCAAAAAGGGGCCAAAAAUAAGCAUUUUUGUAACUUCCAGACAUAACUUGUGUGUUAGUGUAUGGAUCUCUCUGACAUUGUACCACAAGGUUCCAUAUCACAAAAGGAAUGCUGGGAUUGAUUUUGGGGGUAAUUGCCUCAAAAUUUUAGGAAUUAGGGGCCAAAAAAGGGGCAAAAAACAAGCAUUUUUCUAGUUUCAUGACAAUAACUUGUGUGUAAGUGUAUGGAUCUUUCUGAAAUUGUACUACAAGGUUCCAUAUCACAAAGGGAAAGCUGGAAUUGAGUUUGGGGGUAAUUGCCGAAACGUUUAGGAAUUGGGGACCAAAAAGGGGCCAAAAAUAAGCAUUUUUUUAGUUUCCAGACAAUAACUUGUGUUCAAGUGUAUGGAUCUCUCUGAAAUUGUACUGCAAGGUACCAUACCACAAAGGGAAGGCUGGGAUUGAUGAUGGGGUAAUUGCCUCAAUAUUUUAGGAAUUAGGGGCCAAAAAGGGGCAAAAAACAAGCAUUUUUCUAGUUUCAGGACAAUAACUUGUGUGUAAGUGUAUGGAUCUUUCUGAAAUUGUACUACAAGGUUCCAUAUCACAAAGGGGAAGCUGGGUUUGAGUUUGGGGGUAAUUGCCCUAAACGUUUAGGAAUUUGGGGCUAAAAAGGGGCCAAAAAACACAUUUUUAUACGACCGCAAAAAUUUUUGCGGUCGUAUAUUGGAAUGACGUUGGCGUCGUCGUCGUCGUCGUCCGGCGUCGUCCGAAGACACAUUGGUUUUCGCACUCUAACUUUAGUUUAAGUGAAUGGAUCUCUAUGAAAUUUUACCAUAAGGUUCAAUACCACAAAAGGAAGGUUGGGAUUGAUUUCGGGGGUUAUGGUACCAACAAUUAAGGAAUUAGGGGCCAAAAAGGGGCCAAAAAUAAGCAUUUUUGUAACUUCCAGACAUAACUUGUGUGUUAGUGUAUGGAUCUCUCUGAUAUUGUACCACAAGGUUCCAUAUCACACAGGGAAUGCUGGGAUUGAUUUUGGGGGUAAUUGCCUCAAAAUAUUAGGAAUUAGGGGCCAAAAAAUGGGCAAAAAACAAGCAUUUUUCUAGUUUCAGGACAAUAACUUGUGUGUAAGUGUAUGGAUCUUUCUGAAAUUGUACUACAAGGUUCCAUAUCACAAAGGGAAAGCUGGAAUUGAGUUUGGGGGUAAUUGCCCAAAACGUUUAGGAAUAAGGGGCCAAAAAUAAGCAUUUUUCUAGUUUCCAGACAAUAACUUGUGUUCAAGUGUAUGGAUCUCUCUGAAAUUGUACUGCAAGGUACCAUACCACAAAGGGAAGGCUGGGAUUGAGUUUGGGGGUGAUGAAUCAUAAGGGGGUUCAAAAAAUUUGGGGGGGGGGAUUGUUUUUUUUUUCCUUUUUUUUCUUUUUUUCCUUUUUUUUCUUUUAAAAUUUUCCAUUUUAAGUUGGUUAUUUCUGUUUUAUAUUUAAAAGCAAAUAAUAAUGAUAUGGUAGGAGAUACACACCAAACAGGAUGUGUAAAUUAUUAUAAAAUAAGUAUUGUGCAAUAGCAAGAAAUUUUCAAUUGCACAGUAUUGCACAAUAGCAAGAAAUCUUCAAUUGCACAGUAUUGCGCAAUAGCAAGAAAUCUUCAAUUGCACAGUAUUGUGCAAUAGCAAGAAAUAUCCAAUAGCACAAUAUUGCGCAAUAGCAAGAAAUUGUCAAUUGUACAGUAUUGCGCAAUAGCAAGAAAUAUUCAAUUGCACAGUAUUGUGCAAAAGAAGAUACUUCGUAUAAAUUGCUUAUUUAUUGACCAAUUUCAAUGGGGUUUUAUUCUUGAAUUCUUGGGGUUCUUUAAUAUGCUGAUUCUAACUGUGUAUUAAGCUUUUGGAUUUUGGGCCCCGUUUUUAAAUUGGUCCACAUUGAGGUCCAAAGGGUCCAAAAUUAAACUUUGUUUGAUUUCAUCAAAAAUUGAAUUAUUGGGGUUCUUUGAUAUGCAGAAUCUAACCGUGUAUUUAAAUUCUUAAUUUUUGGUUCUGUUUUCAAAUUGGUCUACAUUAAGGUCAAAAGGGGCC